GUGGGGAAUCUUGCGCAAUGGGCGAAAGCCUGACGCAGCCAUGCCGCGUGGAUGAUGACGGUCUUAGGAUUGUAAAAUCCUUUCACCGGUGAAGAUAAUGACUGUAGCCGGAGAAGAAGCCCCGGCUAACUUCGUGCCAGCAGCCGCGGUAAUACGAAGGGGGCUAGCGUUGCUCGGAAUUACUGGGCGUAAAGGGAGCGUAGGCGGACAUUUAAGUCAGGGGUGAAAUCCCGAGGCUCAACCUCGGAACUGCCUUUGAUACUGGGUGGCUUGAGUGUGAGAGAGGUGAGUGGAACUCCGAGUGUAGAGGUGAAAUUCGUAGAUAUUCGGAAGAACACCAGUGGCGAAGGCGACUCACUGGCUCAUUACUGACGCUGAGGCUCGAAAGCGUGGGGAGCAAACAGGAUUAGAUACCCGGGUAGUCC
RNAcentral lists this ribosomal RNA (425 nucleotides) under uncultured bacterium. RNAcentral's name for it is "partial 16S ribosomal RNA". It matches the Rfam family "Bacterial small subunit ribosomal RNA", at positions 354 to 796 of the family's 1533-position model. The record is from RNAcentral.